Molecule: long non-coding RNA, 285 nt
Filed under: Elaeis guineensis (African oil palm)
Lineage: Eukaryota; Viridiplantae; Streptophyta; Magnoliopsida; Arecales; Arecaceae
Description: long non-coding RNA (EGUI_LNC000055)
Source: RNAcentral
CUCUCCCUCUCUCUCUCUCUAUCGCUGAGCUCCUUGAUUCUUUUCUACUGUUGCCUAGUCUCCUCUCUGACUUGACCGUCGGAGGGUCUCCGUCGGAGUCACCUCCAGUCAGUGCAGACUUCUCUUGCAGGUGCUCGUUCCCGACGACCAGGCGAUGAGGAGAUUGGCCGCAACAGGUUUUGGCACGCCAGAAAGGGGGCGACAGGGAUUACGACCCCCACAGAAUUCGAAACAUCCUUUCGAAAUGACAAGAACCAGGACUCAGCGAUCAAGGGCCACCGGAUC